RNA transcript from Equus quagga, 3325 nucleotides. It is a transcript of the gene named DEAF1 transcription factor, with no coding region annotated. Lineage: Eukaryota; Metazoa; Chordata; Mammalia; Perissodactyla; Equidae. The transcript is spliced from 14 exons. The record is from RefSeq and is a predicted model, not a curated record.
GGCGACUUCGGGAGGCCUCGGCUAGGCUUCGCGCAGCCUCGGCUCGGCUCGGGCAGCCCUCCUCGGGCGGCGCGCUUCGGACUCGGCCCCGGCCUUCGGGCGCCCCCGGCCUGCGCCUUCGGGCGGGCUCGGCGGAGUCCGGAUGGAGGACUCGGACUCGGCCGCCAAGCAGCUGGGCCUGGCCGAGGCGGCGGCGGUGGCGGCCGCGGCCGCUGUGGCGGCGGCGGCCGCGGCCGCGGCGGGAGGCGAGGCAGAGGAGCCGGUGCUCAGCAGAGACGAGGACUCGGAAGAGGACGGGGACUCAGAGGCGGAGCGCGAGACGCGGCGGGUGACGGCCGUGGCGGUGAUGGCCGCCGAGCCUGGGCACAUGGACAUGGGCGCCGAGGCCCUGCCCGGCCCCGACGAGGCCGCCGCGGCCGCCGCCUUCGCAGAGGUGACCACUGUGACGGUGGCUAACGUGGGUGCGUCUGCAGACAAUGUCUUCACCACGUCAGUGGCGAACGCCGCCUCGCUCUCGGGACACGUUCUGUCUGGGAGGACAGCCCUUCAGAUUGGGGACAGCCUGAACACUGAGAAAGCCACGCUGAUUGUCGUGCACACGGAUGGGAGCAUCGUGGAAACCACCGGGCUGAAGGGGCCCGCCGCGCCUCUCACGCCAGGUCCUCAGUCUCCUCCAACUCCUCUGGCUCCUGGCCAAGAAAAAGGUGGCACCAAAUACAACUGGGACCCGUCGGUGUACGACAGCGAGCUGCCCGUGCGGUGCCGGAACAUCAGCGGCACACUGUACAAGAACAGGCUCGGCUCAGGAGGCCGGGGGCGGUGCAUUAAGCAGGGCGAGAACUGGUACAGUCCAACUGAGUUUGAAGCCAUGGCAGGAAGAGCCAGCAGUAAGGACUGGAAGAGGAGCAUUCGCUACGCAGGCAGGCCGCUGCAGUGCCUCAUUCAGGACGGGAUCCUAAACCCACACGCCGCCUCCUGCACCUGUGCCGCCUGCUGCGACGACAUGACCCUGAGCGGCCCCGUCCGGCUCUUCGUCCCCUACAAGAGGCGCAAGAAGGAGAACGAGCUGCCCACCACCCCGGUGAAGAAGGACUCCCCCAAGAACAUCGCGCUGCUUCCCGCCACCGCUGCCACCACCUUCACCGUGACCCCCUCAGGACAGAUCACUACCUCUGGCGCUCUCACCUUUGACCGGGCAUCCACUGUGGAGGCCACCGCCGUGAUCUCGGAGAGUCCGGCCCAGGGUGACGUUUUCGCAGGAGCUACAGUCCAGGAAGCGGGCGUGCAGCCGCCGUGCCGGGUCGGCCACCCGGAGCCCCACUACCCCGGCUACCAGGACAGCUGUCAGAUUGCGCCAUUCCCAGAAGCUGCGCUGCCAACGGCUCAUCCCAAGAUAGUGUUGACAUCCCUGCCAGCCCUGGCCGUCCCGCCCUCUACCCCCACCAAAGGCGUCCCUCCCACGAUGGUCAAUGGGCUGGAGAUGUCGGAGCAGCGGAGCUGGCUGUACCUGGAAGAGAUGGUCAAUUCCUUGCUCAAUACCGCCCAGCAACUGAAGACGCUGUUCGAACAAGCCAAGCAGGCCAGCUCCUACCGGGAGGCCGCUGUGGCCCAGGCCAGAGCUCAGGCCGACGCGGAGCGGAAAGAGGUGUGGGAAGAUAUGCAGAUACAGAAUGACUGUCAUGAAGAAGUUUACACUCACCGUUCCCUAGAAAUAAGAGGCACGCCAUGCCACGCUGGGCCACACUUGGCCACACCGGGCCACGUGAGGAAGUACCAGCAGUCCUGCGUCAACUGUGGCCGGGAGGCCCUGAGCGAGUGCACCGGCUGCCACAAAGUCAACUACUGCUCCACCUUCUGCCAGCGCAAGAGAUCUGCCUUUUCUGGGUAUUUCCUGUGCCGGGACUCUCACAGCCUGUGGGCUCUUGCAUCUGGCUGCCUUCGCCCAGCGUGUUCUCGAGGUUUGUCCAUGUUGGAGCAGGUGGCAGUGCUUCUUUCCUUUUUCUGGCUGCAUGAUCUUCCCCUGGGAGGGUGGACCACGUGUGCCUCCGUGCAGGUGACGGGCAUCUGAGCUGUUUCUCCUCUCUGGUGACUGUGAGUAGUGCUGCUGUGAGCAUUCACAUAGAGGUUUUUGGGUGGAUGUAUGUUUUGUUUUGGCUGGAUACCUAGAGUGGAUUUGCUGGGUCAUAGAGUAAACUAAUGUUUAACUUUAAUAAGAAACUUCCAGACUGUUUUCCAGAGUGGCUGCCCCCCGUUUUACUUUCCCACCAGCAGCAGAUGGGGUCUCCCUGCUUCCUCGCCAACACGUGUUACUGUUUGUGUGAGGACAGCCGUCCCAUGUGUGCAGCGAUGCCACGGGGAGUUGUAAUUUGCAUUGCCUAGUGACAGAUGAUGUUGACUAAUGAUCUGUCCAUGUGCUUAGUAGGCAGUUGAGUAUCUUUUGGGGGGAAAUGUCUAUUCAAAUCUUUCACCCAUUUUUCAGUUGGAUAGUUUCUCUUCUUAUUGAGCAUCAAGAGUUCUGUGCUCCUCUGUCAGGUACGUGGUUUGCAGAUGUUUUCCCCCAGUCUGUGCCGUGUCUCUUUCUUUUCCUAAUAGUGGUUGGUGUUUGCGGGACAGAAGUUUUUAGUUUUGUUGAAGUCCAGAGUUCAUCAGAAUUUUGUUUCAUGGAGAUCACACCGUGGUGUCAGAGCACUUUUGUGUAACUGAAGGUUAGGAAAAUCUCCUGUUUUCUUCUAAAACAUGUACACUUUUAGCUCUUAUAUUUAGGUUUAUGAUCCAUUUUUGGUAAAUUUCUGUGUAUGGUGAGAAACGCCGUGGACUUGGCCCGGUGUGCGUGAAGUUUUACAUACUGCAUGGACGGACAGUCCCCUUUCAGGACUGGAAAGAUCACCAGCACAUGUGCGGGCAGUCAGCGGCCGUCACCGUUCAGGCCGACGAAGUCCACGUCACUGAGAGCGUGAUAGAGAAAGUCAACGUGUGAGAGCUUGCCGGGUCCCCUCUCCGCGGUGCCAUGUACCUGUCGCAGGUGCAGGACCCCUUGAGGACUUUGGGGUUGUUGAGGAGAAGGUGAAGAAACUUGCUGGCCAAGUUAUUAACAGACUUUGAGUGACCUGUCCCUUGGCAAUGAACUCCUGCCGCCAGUAGCCCCGAGGAGCGCGGGGCCGCGUGGGACGGCGGCUCCUCUCGGUGCUCUUUUUUAUCCCUUGGAUCAUGAGUGUCCGUCUCACCCACGGGUGUGUCGUGUUCUGAAACACUCGUGUACAUACACGUGUCUGUCAAUAAAGGGGAUGUCCCCGCUCCGCCCGGACGGGGGUUCCACUCCCGCGUC